GACGGACCGUCCAAACGUUAUUCGGAAUCACUGGGCUUACAGAGUUCGUAGGCGGUCUGGAAAGUUGGGUGUGAAAUCCCUCGGCCUAACCGAGGAACUGCGCUUGAAACUACCAGACUCGAGGGAGAUAGAGGAAAGCGGAACUGAUGGUGGAGCGGUGAAAUGCGUUGAUAUCAUCAGGAACACCGGUGGCGAAGGCGGCUUUCUGGGUCUUACCUGACGCUGAGGAACGAAAGCCAGGGGAGCGAACGGG
RNAcentral lists this ribosomal RNA (253 nucleotides) under uncultured bacterium. RNAcentral's name for it is "partial 16S ribosomal RNA". It matches the Rfam family "Bacterial small subunit ribosomal RNA", at positions 524 to 776 of the family's 1533-position model. The record is from RNAcentral.